GACGAACGCUGGCGGCGUGCUUAACACAUGCAAGUCGAACGAAGAGCGAUGGAAGCUUGCUUCUAUCAAUCUUAGUGGCGAACGGGUGAGUAACGCGUAAUCAACCUGCCCUUCAGAGGGGGACAACAGUUGGAAACGACUGCUAAUACCGCAUACGAUCUAAUCUCGGCAUCGAGGAUAGAUGAAAGGUGGCCUCUAUUUAUAAGCUAUCACUGAAGGAGGGGAUUGCGUCUGAUUAGCUAGUUGGAGGGGUAACGGCCCACCAAGGCGAUGAUCAGUAGCCGGUCUGAGAGGAUGAACGGCCACAUUGGGACUGAGACACGGCCCAGACUCCUACGGGAGGCAGCAGUGGGGAAUCUUCCGCAAUGGACGAAAGUCUGACGGAGCAACGCCGCGUGAGUGAUGACGGCCUUCGGGUUGUAAAGCUCUGUUAAUCGGGACGAAAGGCCUUCUUGCGAAUAGUUAGGAGGAUUGACGUACCGGAAUAAAAAGCC
Molecule: ribosomal RNA, 494 nt
Filed under: Veillonella dispar
Lineage: Bacteria; Bacillati; Bacillota; Negativicutes; Veillonellales; Veillonellaceae
Description: bacterial SSU rRNA
Rfam family: Bacterial small subunit ribosomal RNA
Source: RNAcentral